Molecule: small RNA, 29 nt
Filed under: Bombyx mori (domestic silkworm)
Lineage: Eukaryota; Metazoa; Arthropoda; Insecta; Lepidoptera; Bombycidae
Description: piRNA piR-bmo-1519967
Source: RNAcentral
UGCGAUCCUCUCAACGCCAAUAUCGGAAC